GGAGAGGUAGCGAAGCGGCCGUAACGCGCUCGACUCGAAAUCGAGUUGUCCCAGUGAUGGGACACGUGGGUUCGAAUCCCACCCUCUCCGCCA
This 93-nucleotide transfer RNA is filed under the name Desulfovibrio sp. RNAcentral's name for it is "tRNA-Ser". It matches the Rfam family "tRNA". From Rfam's summary of the family: Transfer RNA (tRNA) molecules are approximately 80 nucleotides in length. Their secondary structure includes four short double-helical elements and three loops (D, anti-codon, and T loops). Lineage: Bacteria; Pseudomonadati; Thermodesulfobacteriota; Desulfovibrionia; Desulfovibrionales; Desulfovibrionaceae. The record is from RNAcentral.